This 319-nucleotide ribosomal RNA is filed under the name uncultured eukaryote. Its description in RNAcentral is "partial 18S ribosomal RNA". It matches the Rfam family "Eukaryotic small subunit ribosomal RNA", at positions 1470 to 1796 of the family's 1831-position model. The record is from RNAcentral.
CCCCUAGAUGUCCUGGGCCGCACGCGUGCUACACUGACGCCUACAGCGAGUACUUCCCAGCCCCGAGAGGCGGCUGGUAAUCAGCAAUAGGCGUCGUGAUGGGGAUAGAUCUUUGGAAUUCUGGAUCUUGAACGAGGAAUGCCUAGUAAGCGCAGGUCAUUAGCCUGCGCUGAUUACGUCCCUGCCCUUUGUACACACCGCCCGUCGCUCCUACCGAUUUCGAGUGGUCCGGUGAAUCUUUCGGACUGCGCGCAGCUUCGUGCCGUGUCGCGGAAAGUCAGGUAAACCUAAUCACUUAGAGGAAGGACAAGUCGUAACA